Molecule: ribosomal RNA, 271 nt
Filed under: uncultured bacterium
Lineage: Bacteria
Description: partial 16S ribosomal RNA
Rfam family: Bacterial small subunit ribosomal RNA
Source: RNAcentral
CCGGCGACCGGCGCACGGGUGAGUAACACGUAUGCAACCUGCCCUCCGCAGGGGGAUAACCCGGAGAAAUCCGGACUAAUACCGCGUGGUACACCAGUGGGGCAUCCCACUGGUGUUAAAAGGAAGUGAUUCCGGCGGAGGAUGGGCAUGCGGCGCAUUAGCUUGUUGGCGGGGUAACGGCCCACCGAGGCGACGAUGCGUAGGGGUUCUGAGAGGAAGGUCCCCCACACUGGUACUGAGACACGGACCAGACUCCUACGGGAGGCAGCAG